CGGAAAAUAUAACGGGGCUAAAGUAAGUACCGAAGCUGUAGACUUGCACACAACUUAGAUUAUUUAAGUUUAGAAUAUGAGAAACUAAGUUAUAUGUUUAGUUAUAUUUUUACUGAUUUUUAUAGAGUAAAGAUAGAAAUAAAACUUAGUAAAAUCAGUAAAAAUAUUCUUAGGCUAAAGUUAAGUAGUUUAAGUUGUGUGCAAGUGGUAGGAGAGCGUUCUAUUUGCGUCGAAGGUAUACCGGUAAGGAGUGCUGGA
RNAcentral lists this ribosomal RNA (258 nucleotides) under Campylobacter sp. US51. RNAcentral describes it as "partial 23S ribosomal RNA". The record is from RNAcentral. Lineage: Bacteria; Pseudomonadati; Campylobacterota; Epsilonproteobacteria; Campylobacterales; Campylobacteraceae.